AUCAUUCUAACUACACACAUUGAACACAGCUAUAAGAUAAUUUUUGCCACGUGUUCUUCUCACAGAGCUGCAGAGCGAAAUUGAGCUGGACAAACAGACAAAAAACAUACUGCUUUUGGCCAAAUUUUGAAAUGUUAUUCCCUCCUUCAGUUUCUUUACGAAAUGGGCCAACAAAUGACAGUCCAAUGCUAUCCGGCCCAGCAAAGCCCAGUCCGUCUGGAGGAAAAGCUUUGAGGCCAAACAAAAAACAGCUGUCCUGGAGACAGUAUGUUGACCCGUCCUUUUCUUUAAUCAGGUUGGUUUACUUCUUUUGACUAAGACAUUAUUUUCUUUUCUUUUACACCUUCCCAAAAACACCAUUUUGGUGAAAAACUCUACAUCAGACACAGUUUUUUUUUGGAAUCAAUUUCAAAUUUCAAAUUCAUGGGUUUCAUUUCAGUUAUUCCCUCUUCAGAUCUCUCGC
This 463-nucleotide long non-coding RNA is filed under the name Trifolium pratense (red clover). RNAcentral describes it as "long non-coding RNA (TPRA_LNC008417)". Lineage: Eukaryota; Viridiplantae; Streptophyta; Magnoliopsida; Fabales; Fabaceae. The record is from RNAcentral.